RNA transcript from Arachis stenosperma, 3504 nucleotides. It is a transcript of the gene named probable receptor-like protein kinase At2g47060, with no coding region annotated. The record is from RefSeq and is a predicted model, not a curated record. Lineage: Eukaryota; Viridiplantae; Streptophyta; Magnoliopsida; Fabales; Fabaceae. The transcript is spliced from 9 exons.
UGCCUUGCCCCAAAUUAAAUUAAACCCUAAACUCCUUUGCCUCAGCUGCACCGCCACCCCUCUUUCAUCCCUUUCAGUAUAACACUACUCACCCACAAUCCCUAAUUCAGUGCUGCUACCCCCUCACACACCUUCACCUCAGCUCCACACAUACUCAGCCUCACUACCCUCUCAUUAAUACAACACACACGCACAGCUCCGCACUCACCGACGGAAGAGAAGGAAGGGAGCGCAGCGCCAGGGGCGGAGAAGCUCGCUGCCGUCAACCCUGCCGUCGCCGUCCGUGAAGUCCGCGCUAGUGCCGUCGCGGAGGAACGUCCCUGUUGUUGCAAACUAUUGCCAUCGCCGAUGAGGAUCCAUAGCUGGGAAGCAUGUCGCCGUUGCUGCUGUCCGUCCAGCCGAGCUGUCGCCGUCGCUGCCGGUCCGCCUUGGAGCCCUGGCCGUCGUCGAUGGGGUUGAAUCCGCCGCCGGCUUGAGCUAAGGGAAAGGAAACCCGUAUAGGGAGAGAGCGGGGGGCUUCGUGGCAGCUCCAUCGCACCGCUCCUGCCAAGCCACCGCCAAGUCCUGCCGCCGAUCGGAACCCUAGCCACCGCCGUUGAAGAUGCCACCACCGCCACUGCUGUCAAUUGGGAUCAAAAUUGUUGCUGUGUUCCCAGAGCUGUCAUGGAAGUGGUUGAUUCGGUCCCAAUUCCUCCAUUGUAGAGACUGUAAGCUUUAAUCCUUGUCUUGGUUCUAUCCUGUUUCUCUGUUUUUCUCCUAUUCUAGCUAAGGGAACCUAUGUCUCUGUUUAGUACUGCUACUCUGUUUUCCUGUUUGUUGUUAGAACCAUUAUGGUGGUGUUGAGGCCAUCAGGAAACUGUUAGAGCUGCUGUUGACAAGUUUGAUAUUGCUACCUCAAUUCUGGGUUGUGUUCACUUUUGAUACCCAUUCAAUUGGAUUUUCUAUUCUGCUGUAAUUACCAUUACCGUCGUGGAUUUAUUGCCACUGCUGCCAUGAAACGAAAAGGGAAGGGGAUCGUCGCGUUUGAUUUCCUUGGAUUUCGACACUUUGAGGUGGAAUGUUGUUAUGCCUGCCAUUGUUGCCAAAUCAAUAUCAAUUCUAUCUGAUGCAGGCCUUGGCAUGGCCAUGUUUAGCCUUGGGCUAUUUAUGGCAUUGCUACCAAAGAUCACUGCCUGUGGAAACACGGUCGCUUCAUUCGCUAUGGCGAUUCAUUUCCUCACCGGCCCUGCAGUAAUGGCUGUAGCAUCAAUUGUGGUAGGACUAAGGGGAGUUUUGUUGCACAUUGCCAUUGUACAGGCUGCCCUGCCUCAAGGAAUUGUACCCUUUGUGUUUGCUAAGGAAUACAACGUUCAUCCUGAUAUAUUAAGCCCAGGGGUUAUAUUUGGGAUGCUAAUUGCUCUUCCUAUUACUCUAGUUUAUUAUAUUUUGUUGGGGCUGUGAAGAAGAUGAGGACGGGGAGGAAUGACUAAUUAUAAUAGUGUUACAUUUACAUUUACACCCUUUUGUUAUAUUAAUAUUAUUAUAGGGUAAUUUUUUUUGCCAUCCUCUAACAAUGUAGAAUUUGGAAGCUUAAUCAGAGUUGGGAAUGAAUGAAGUGUGUUUGUAGAGAGGGCUUAAUAGCUAUAAUUUAAUUACUACUAAAUAGGAAAAGCAUCCAGAACUUGCAAACAAUUUGCAUUUUGGUGACAUCUAACAGGUCAAUCAUUUAUGGAAUAAUGAAACUAUUGGAUAUUUCUUCUUUGCCUCUUCAAGCUACUUCAAUGCCUUCUCUGAACUCACGUUACAUAUUAUUUCAUUCUCAUAAGAUGUGAGAAAGUUUCAUGCAAAUUAAAUUUUUAUAUAUGGAUUCUUGUUCUUUAGUUAAUCAUCUCUAAUAUAUGGAUUCAGGUGAAAUUUGUGGCUGGUACCAACUAGAGGCCGUACCUAUAAUCUUGACAACUGAUUCAAACAUUGGGGAGCUGAAAAUAUGCAUAUUUUGAAGACCCUUGGUGUUGAUCAUGUGGUGGACUUGGGCAGUGAAAAUGUGUUGCUAUCAUUACCAUAAAUUGAUAGCCAAUUCAGCCAAUUUAGAUUUUAUUUACUUUUCAGCAACCAGUUUGGGGAAGGGAAGAAGAAAAAAUAACAAAUCUCAUUGGUUGAUUAUUUCAAUUUAAACAUGUUAAUUUUAAUUCCAUAUAUGUUCCAUAAUUCAUGCUUCCUCGAACUAACUCCAUUGAUUUUACUUAAAAUUUAUAGUGUGAUUGUGUAAGCUUUGAAGGUGGAUAGUCUGCAGAGACUUUGCUCAUCUCUGGAACCUCUACUCAGAAAAAUUGAGUUAUAGUUUCUUCCUUUGUAUUAAAUCUUGCAUAUUUAAUCACACCUACAAAAAUAUUUAAUAUUGUGCGUUGCAUACUACCCAAACCCCUCCCCAUUAGAUCACUCCCACUAUGCAUGAAUACUUGUUUAAAACAGAAUUGAGUUUAUAAUAGUUUUCAGAACAAAUUGAGGCUAACACUCUUCACUUGAUUUGACGCAUUAUUGGUUUUUCGUUUGAUCUAAAGAAUUCAAUAUUAAAUUUAUUGUUUUAUUUGGACGUAGCUAUAUAUAUGGAAGAAUCAUUUAAAGGAAGUAAUCAAGAUCUUCUGUCCUUAUGAUGUUUUUUGUAAGGUACCAUUUUGAUUCUUCUAACCCUUAUGAACUAUAUAGGUCAGUGAAGAAGUGGAGCGUGCUUUGGCAAAACUAGGCCCUGCUAAACUGGCUGAAAGGUGUAUCCCAGCCUCAUAUUCAAAUUUCUAAGCCAAACUUCUCUACUUUUUGUAAUGUUUUUCUGCAGGUUAUGAUAAGCAAUUCAUUUUCAUGAAUUUUUUGUUAAGCAUGAAUUACUUAAUUUAGCUUGCAUUAGAUCUUUUCCAUCAAGAAUUUGAAGGUUCAAAAGCAAAGAAUGAAUAUAUUCAAAUUUUUAUCCAAUUUAAAUUUAAGCUGAUUUGAGGCAAUUAUGGUAAAACAUCUUGCUUUCUUAGGCAAUUGGGCUAUAGGGCUUAUAAACUUGAAUCCCCUAAAGAUUUAUACAAUCCAUUUGUUUCCAUGUACUUCGGUGCUGACUAUGUGACAUGGUUAUCCGAAUAUGAAGAGAGGAUCAUCAAAUCAUGUAUUUGCUGUAGAAAAUGCUGAUUUUCCAACAGUUAACUCUGGGGAUGAACUGAAAGAAACUACAGUUAACUCUGGAGAUGAAAAUGAUGCACCAGGAUAUGCAAUGAGUGGGAAAUUGAAUGCUAAGAGUGCUCUACAUAGCUUGGGUGUUGUCCUUCAGAAGCUUUUGGCAGAUCAUGCAUUAUCGAGUGGUCAGCAGAGCCUAUUUUUUAGGGAGGACGAUUCUGACGAUCAUGAUAACUCGGAUGAUUAUUUAGACGAGUAUGAGUAGGUUAUUUAAUUACGUUACGUUGAAUAUUAAGUAUUAUUAGUGGAUUACAAUUUAAACGAAUAUAAGUCUAAGUUUAGUUAUUUAUCUUGUCUUGAGUCUUUAUG